Molecule: ribosomal RNA, 301 nt
Filed under: uncultured bacterium
Lineage: Bacteria
Description: partial 16S ribosomal RNA
Rfam family: Bacterial small subunit ribosomal RNA
Source: RNAcentral
CAGCCGCCGCGGUAACACAGAGGGUGCAAGCGUUAAUCGGAAUUACUGGGCGUAAAGCGCGCGUAGGUGGUUUGUUAAGUUGGAUGUGAAAUCCCCGGGCUCAACCUGGGAACUGCAUCCAAAACUGGCAAGCUAGAGUAUGGUAGAGGGUGGUGGAAUUUCCUGUGUAGCGGUGAAAUGCGUAGAUAUAGGAAGGAACACCAGUGGCGAAGGCGACCACCUGGACUGAUACUGACACUGAGGUGCGAAAGCGUGGGGAGCAAACAGGAUUAGAUACCCGCGAGUCCCUGUCUCUUAUACA